CAGUCGCCGCGGUAAUACGAAGGGUGCAAGCGUUAAUCGGAAUUACUGGGCGUAAAGCGUGCGUAGGCGGUGAGUUAAGUCUGCUGUGAAAUCCCCGGGCUCAACCUGGGAAUGGCAGUGGAUACUGGCUCGCUAGAGUGUGUCAGAGGAUGGUGGAAUUCCCGGUGUAGCGGUGAAAUGCGUAGAGAUCGGGAGGAACAUCAGUGGCGAAGGCGGCCAUCUGGGACAACACUGUCGCUGAGGCACGAAAGUGUGGGGAGCAAACAGGAUUAGAUACCCCCGUAGUCCCUGUCUCUUAUAA
RNAcentral lists this ribosomal RNA (301 nucleotides) under uncultured bacterium. Its description in RNAcentral is "partial 16S ribosomal RNA". It matches the Rfam family "Bacterial small subunit ribosomal RNA", at positions 509 to 809 of the family's 1533-position model. The record is from RNAcentral.